This 414-nucleotide ribosomal RNA is filed under the name uncultured eukaryote. RNAcentral describes it as "bacterial SSU rRNA". It matches the Rfam family "Eukaryotic small subunit ribosomal RNA", at positions 354 to 771 of the family's 1831-position model. The record is from RNAcentral.
GACGGGUAACGGGGAAUCAGGGUUCGAUUCCGGAGAGGGAGCCCGAGAAACGGCUACCACUUCCAAGGAAGGCAGCAGGCGCGCAACUUACCCUAAUCUCGAUUCGAGGAGGUAGUGACAAGAAAUACCGAUGCGGGACCCUACGGGUGCCGCGUUCGGAAUGAGUACGAUUCGAACCACCUAACGAGGAACGAUCGGAGGGCAAGUCUGGUGCCAGCAGCCGCGGUAAUUCCAGCUCCAAUAGCGUACGUUAAAGUUGCUGCAGUUAAAAAGCUCGUAGUUGAACGUUCGGGUUCCGCGGGACGGGGCCGCCCCGCGAGGGACGGCGCCGCCCCGGGGCUCGUGAUAUCUUAUCUCGCCGCCCGUCGCGAGGCGGACGGAGGGAUGGAUGAGGUUACCUGGAAAAAAUCGGGG